Long non-coding RNA from Lepisosteus oculatus (spotted gar), 546 nucleotides. RefSeq lists it as uncharacterized. The record is from RefSeq and is a predicted model, not a curated record. NCBI's taxonomy places the organism in Eukaryota, Metazoa, Chordata, Actinopteri, Semionotiformes, Lepisosteidae.
CGAAACUGCCGGAGUACGGAGCCGGCUCGUCUUCACGUAUUGACAUCCUAUCUGCUUCAACGAUAAACUUCGGAUUAAAUACGGAAAGGAGACUUGUCUCGCAGUUUCGAGAAGAAAUUUCUAAGACUUUCCCCGCUGUUGCGGAGUUCGCGAUGGGCCGAUCAUCUCGCACACAUCCUAUGCAUUUUCAGGCUAAAGCGACUAAUUUGGUAGCAGAGUGAAGCCGAUGACAUCCCUACUAUUCAGCACUGACGGAAUUUAAGAUGAAUCGCAGCCCGGACGCACACCAGGGGCGCAGUUGCUGGGUUACAGCCGAGCCGAGCUUCCUGGGCGAGCGUGACCCCCCGACCCCCUGCGGCAGCUGGAGAGGAGAGCCAAUUGAGCGACAACCUUGCGCAUUCCCGGAGCAGGAAAGUCAAACCUAUUAACAAUACGUUUUCAAUACUCUUGAACGCAGGGGCGUUGCCAGGAAUUGCCAGCAUAGGGGGACCCCUCCAAUUUACAAUUUACACUCCUCGAGCGGUAUAAUCAAACAGCAUAAUUAGC